This 168-nucleotide microRNA precursor is filed under the name Pelobates cultripes (western spadefoot toad). The record is from RNAcentral. Lineage: Eukaryota; Metazoa; Chordata; Amphibia; Anura; Pelobatidae.
GCAGACACAUUCCAGCCAAUCAGCAGCAGACCCUCACUCCCAGCCCCUCCCACUUCAUGGACAGCAUCCAUUUUACAUUCAUUGUGAAGCUGCAUUCUUAGUGAGCUGUCCAGGAGGUGGGAGGGUCUGGGAGGGAGGGUCUGCUGCUGAUUGGCUGGAAUGUGUCUG